CACACACGAUACAUUGUCUCCCCAAAAUCACAACUUUAGCCAUAUUUUUUUUUUAAAGCAAUCAGCCAUACUUUUGUUAAAUCAAUCACAUGCAAAUCAAUAUUUUACAACAAUCAAUCCACUUGGAAAUUUCCUCACAAGCUCUUCUUCAUCCCUGAAGUGCGCAGCAACCAUAGGUAAAUUCCUCUCAACUUUGAGAUUUCUCCAUCUCAUUCUUAGUUUCUCUGCAUAUAUUGAAGAGAAGCAAAAAUCUGAAAUAUUGUGCAGUGAUUCCAGCAAACAAGCAAAUUCAGAAUCAGGCAGCAACCAUUUCACAUCCUAAAUACCUAAAGGUUUCCUCUCGAGCCCUUACCUCAUUUGCUCGACUGUUAAAAAUCAAGCUCUUCAUAUGUGCCAUUCCAGUAAACCAAUAUACACAACAAAACAUUCAAGCAUUUCAAUAGUAUGACUUUCAUUAUUACAUAUACAUACAUGAUAGCAUGAUUCAUUGAAAAGAAAAGAUUUUAUUUUGAAGCAUAUCUAUUAAUAAGAAUAAAGAAAAGUCUUGAGUUUGAUUUUGAUUGCCGAGUUCCAAUGUUGGAGUGUCUGGUUGGGUCUGCUGAGUCGGGGAGGAUGAGAGUUGUAUUUGUGUGAGCCGAAGGAGAGGACGGCGGUGGCCUUCAUGGUUGCUCGCCGGGAAUGGUGUGCUGACGGUGGUGGCGCGGAGCCACUGACCGAGGCUGCCGGAUCUGUGAACAGAGGGUGGGGAGAGAGGAGCGGCUGCUUCAAUGGGGUUCAGCGGAGGGAGGCUAGGGCUCGGCGGCGGCUCCGCCGCUGUUGUCCGGCCGAGGAUGGAGCAUGGGAGAUAGAGGGCGCCGGUGGCAGCCCGCCUCAUCUGUUGCUGCUGUCGACGGUGGCGCGGCUUGUCGCUGCUGCUCCUCCGGUGAGCACCACGGUGGGCGGCUGUUACCAGCCGAAGAGAGAAAGGCAGAGAGGGAGAGGAAGGAUGAGAGUGCGGUCUAGUCGGGAACCUGUGCUGAACUUGGCCCCGUUAGAGGUUCUAGCUCGAUUGUGUCGAGUCGAGCGGAUUGGAAUCGAGGCUCUCAUAGAGAGGAUGCACGGCUCGUUUGACGAGUGAGUUGCAGGACGGCGGCGACCUUGGCCUUGCUGCCGUCGACCUGAGGAGGGAGAACCGAGCGUCGUCAGCGGCUGUCGUUGUUGCUCCGGCAAGCUUCGGCGGUGGCGAAAUUCUGAGGGAGAAGGGUGCUGCUGCGUGCGUGAGUUUGUGUAGGUAGAGGGAAAACUAGGGAGAAGAAGAUGGGGUAGAGGGAAAGGGUCGGUCGUCGGCUUCUCGCCGGAAGGAGCCGCGGCAGCGGGACUGAUGGCUGAGAGAGAGAGGUCGAGAGAGAGAUGACAGAUUUAGUUGUAUGCGUGUGUGUGUUAUGCGGCUGGGGGAAGAAGAAGGGGGGGGGGAAGUGUGGGCUUUAGGUUUGGGUUUUGGGAAUUGGGUUUGAUUAUUGGGCUUUGAAUGUUGGGCUUUUGUUUUAAAUUUUCAGUUGGGCCGAUUUUCUUUUAUUAAGCUGGGCCUUUGAUUAUUUUAAAUCAUGGGCUGCCCAAGUAUUAAUUUAAUUGGAUUUGUGCAGAUUUUAUUUAAAGGAGCUACACUAUUAUAAUUAAUUAGACUUAUUAAGUUUAAUUAAUUAUUUUCAAAGAGUAAAUUUUUAUAAUAAUAUUAAAUUAUUAUUAUAAGCAUAUUUUAAGUAAAUUACUUAUUAUAUGCUAAGCAUGACAAUAUUUGCAUUAUAUUUUGCAAUAAGAAUAUUUAUGAUUUAAUUGGUUUUAUUUAUAAUUCCAAUUAUUAAAAAAAGAUGAGUAAGAAUAUUGUUGGUGUUCUUAACUCAAGAGAAAUGUUUUCAAUUAUUUAUUCAUUAAAUUUUGAAAACCCGGCUAAGUGAAUCAUAGAAUAUUAAGCACUUCACCAUGACUUAAGAUUAGAAUUCAAGGAGACCUAUUAAGAAUAGAUUUCUUGUAGGCUUUGAGCAUCAGGAGGAUUAGCACUGCUAUUCCGAUUCAGAGAUAAGGUUAAACGACAGGCUUUGCCUAGACAGGUGGGCUUAUUUUUCAAAUGUAUGCUUGAGUUAUUAAGCUCUAAAUGUUUCAUGAAUUGAAAACUGUUUAUCCAAUAAAUAUUUUUGUGCGCUCUGUUAUGUUUAAGGCUCGCAAUUCAUGGAUCGAUCGAGGUUCUCUUAUGACCUAACACGUUGUUUGAGAAUUGUGUACACUUGUUAGUUGUUUCGGUGGGUUGAUCUCCAUCGGGCACUAAUUCAUGUAAGAGGCGUUAUAAGGGUGCUCGGCUGGAUGUGUUCCGGAGCAUGUAUCAUGUAAGGCCUGCCCGGGUAGCGUCCCGAGGUCAAUUCAACUUGUCUGAGUUACGUCCUCAGGGCAAGUGUCAUGGGAGAAAGCGAUACGUCGGUGGCUAAAAGGUCCGGUAUCACAGCGAGUAACUAAACAGAGUGUGACAAUGGCGCGCUAAUAAAAUGAAAUACUUUAACAUGCUUAGAAGUUAUUUUUGUUUUAAAACCUUCUAAGUUAUGUCAUGAAUGAUUGGAUAAACUGCUUUUACGAAUUGUGAAAUGUUUUAAAAGUUGCAGCCCACUAAGUACAUUAGUACUUAGACCCAAAUAUUUUCAAAUGUUUUUCAGGUUGAUGGCUGGUGCUGACGGGGAGAGCUGAGGCUAGGGUUCAACUCCGU
RNAcentral lists this long non-coding RNA (2731 nucleotides) under Salvia miltiorrhiza (redroot sage). RNAcentral's name for it is "long non-coding RNA (SMIL_LNC000786)". Lineage: Eukaryota; Viridiplantae; Streptophyta; Magnoliopsida; Lamiales; Lamiaceae. The record is from RNAcentral.